CAGCAGCCGCGGGAAUACGGAGGGAGCUAGCGUUAUUCGGAAUUACUGGGCGUAAAGCGCACGUAGGCGGCUUUGUAAGUUAGAGGUGAAAGCCUGGUGCUCAACACCAGAACUGCCUUUGAUACUGCAUCGCUUGAAUCCAGGAGAGGUGAGUGGAAUUCCGAGUGUAGAGGUGAAAUUCGUAGAUAUUCGGAAGAACACCAGUGGCGAAGGCGGCUCACUGGACUGGUAUUGACGCUGAGGUGCGAAAGCGUGGGGAGCAAACAGGAUUAGAUACCCGGGUAGUCCCUGUCUCUUAUAC
Molecule: ribosomal RNA, 301 nt
Filed under: uncultured bacterium
Lineage: Bacteria
Description: partial 16S ribosomal RNA
Rfam family: Bacterial small subunit ribosomal RNA
Source: RNAcentral